This 1355-nucleotide unclassified non-coding RNA is filed under the name Monomorium pharaonis (pharaoh ant). Its description in RNAcentral is "uncharacterized LOC105828914, transcript variant X1". The record is from RNAcentral. Lineage: Eukaryota; Metazoa; Arthropoda; Insecta; Hymenoptera; Formicidae.
CUGUCCUUGGAGUAACUUUUCCUGCUAAGGAAACGGAUUCGAGGAGAGACGCGGCCCGGUAGAUUUGACUACCGGGCCGCGUCUCUCCUUGCACGCGAGUGCAAGAAGCUGUAAAUGUUUACAGAGCAAAUCCGUCGUUAAAUCCGAUACGGGACAUUUCGGGUUUGCAGUUUCGGACGCUCUUCUAUUUGACUUGGGUUUAGCCGCGCGACGGGAUUUCAGCCAAUAUUAGACGGCUCGGGUUGUCGCGCGGUAUUACAUAUACCAACCGGUUUGCCAACCGCUAUCUUACAUGCCUCAAUGAAAUUACGCUGGUUUACGUACACACCCGCGCGAGAGAAUAACUAAAUACGUUAAUCAGGCAGGCCUACCCGAUAAAGGGGUAAUCUCUCCCGCUGUUUCGCCGUCGGCGAAUCGCGAAUUAUUUUCGCGCUGGUGACCUGCCAGCCUGCGAUCUAUUUUCGUGUAUCCAAAGGCAUCGCCCGUGGAUUUCAGAGCGGAGUUGCCGUAAAGUUAUGAAAGACGUAUUUCUCUCGAAAAACUUGCGGGCAUCGCGGCGGUAUAGACCUUUUCAAUGAAACUUCGGUGAAAAGAUGCUCGAGAGAAGGAGAGAGAGAGAGAGAGAGAGCGAGAGGCUUCUACGCAUUCCGUGGAAAAAUUCCGAGGCACGAAGUUGCUGAUUUUUCUUCUUGUGGAUUUCUCACCAGUCGGCGAGCUUGGAUAUAUAAUCUCUUCUACCGCAACGCGUGGGACGAAAGAUGCACACGAGAAAGAGAAAGAGAGAGAGAGAGAGAGAGAGAGAGAGAGAGAGGACUUGGAGAUUACAUCGAGCAUAAUAUGGCAACGACACGAGUCUUUCACACGCCCGCGAUGGAGAUUACGCGGGACAAUGGAAAAACAGCUAAACGACGAGUGCGGGCGCGUGCCACCGUCGCUCCGGCCGGAACGCGAAAACGGUCCAUCGCAGCAUCGUACUCGAGCGGAGUAGAGCGGCUCCUCGCGAGGACGAUACACGCUGCCUGACGGCCAUCGGGGGUGCAGCAACCCUCGGCCUCGGUCGCCAGGAACGGAUCUAUACCGAGGGUAGGAUGCCGUUUGUCGGGGCAACGAAUGUGCGAGCCAGUCAGCUAUCGGGGAAAACACGCGAGUCGAGGAGGCAGGAGGGAAAUUCUGGAGCGCGUGCAUGCCGUCGAUGACACCAGCGGAUGCACGGGCACCAUCGUUGUCAGAUGCAACGCAGAGGGAGAUUCUGCGUGCCGUGACGACGUGUACCGUGUAUAGUGCGUACGCGUACGGACCUGUGUGCGUAUACGCGUAAGUAACGUAAGGGGCGGUGGGAAAGGAAGACAGAGGCA